RNAcentral lists this long non-coding RNA (1756 nucleotides) under Brassica napus (rape). Its description in RNAcentral is "long non-coding RNA (BNAP_LNC006318)". Lineage: Eukaryota; Viridiplantae; Streptophyta; Magnoliopsida; Brassicales; Brassicaceae. The record is from RNAcentral.
UAUGGGAUAGAUAAUUCAUUCUUUCGGUGUUCAAAUCUCAUUGCAGCUCGAAAUCUACUGAACUGGAUGAUCUAUAGAGGAGUGACUUAGCUACGAUAAAUCUGAGAAGAAGCAGCUUCUUUUAUUAUUUUUGAAAGGUGUGUUCUGCCAAAUAGUGUAAACAAAAUAUGUUUUAAAUUUUUUUAGUCUCGAUUCUAAAAAAGAAUUUUCGGCUGAUAUAAGAGAAUAUUAUAUCAUUUUUAUAUGUUUUAUAGGUAUCAUAUUCUUCCUAAUGAAAAAUAAAGUAUUCUUCAUAUUUUUGUCUCGAUUUUAAGGCAUCCCUAUUGUCUAAUUAAUACGCAUGUGUUAGUUAAAAUGCUUCAAGAUAAGGACUCACCAAGGAAAUUAGCGGAAUUUUCUUUGAUAUUUAACAUUUCACUUCUUUAAAGCUUGCUCUUUAUAUAAUAUUCGUAGAUUAUGUAAUGUGAGGCUGAUGCAGUGGCAAAUUCAACGCUCUUAUCUCUAAAUUUGUCUUUUCUUUGUUUCGGGUAAACUUGCUUUUUGUUUAAUGAAUUGUAGUUCAGCCAGAAAAAUGUAACUAUGUAUAAUGAUAUUUGCUUGGUGUUUACCACAUUAUAGCUUCAAUGUAACAAAAGCAAUCCACGUUUAAGUUUUGAAUGAAUCCUCAAAAAUUUAACGAGAUGUGUAUAGCCAGCAUAUAUAUAUAUAUAUAUAUAUAUAUAUAUAUAUAUUCUAAAAUGUAGAAGUACUAUAUCUAAUUAUUACGAGUAUACAUAUCUCUUUUGUAAAAUGUAUGGACACUAUAUCUAAUUAUUACAAAUUAUUUCAAAAUCAACAAAUAUUAAAAUGUUAUAAAAUACUCUAAUAUAAAAUGCUAAUAUAGUCUUAUAGAAUAAUUCUAGGAACAAUGAUGCAAGAUUGAAAGAAAAUUAAUGCAUAGUCAUGUGUUAGACAAAUACUUUAUUUUUCAUGACCAUAAAAUUAAUUUAAAUUUCACUAGAACAUAUAUUAUCAUCGAAAUCCGGCGCGUAGCGCCAGGCUACCCUAGUGUAUAUAUAUAUAUUAUAUGCUUCCAAUAAGCAUCCCCUUCUUGAUAUAUUUUAUAAAAUUCGCUUUUACGCUUCCAAAGGUUUCUGCUUCCGUGCAUCUUCCUGUGAUUCCAUGCAACAUAAGUUUGCAGAAUUUGUUCGUUUCCAAGUUCUUUUAACAAUUUUGCGAAUCCACUUCCUUCUCACGGUUAGCAACUGACAUGGCCCUUAUUCUGCCCCUGCAGACGAGUGUGAUACAGUGCCUUGCUUUUUCAUUUUCCAGGCAUUAGGUGAUCCUCUUUGAAAUGCUUUAACAUGUGAGAGUUAUCACCACAUAUGAGAAGGUCAUCAGCAUAUAUCAACACACCCAACUCAAUAUUUUUAAACGAGUAUGAGAAGAGUGAGUAGUCUUCAUAAAACUAAAAAAAAUCAAAAACGAAGUACCGCAUCUGAGAGAGGCAAAGAAUGCUAAUGUAAAUGAAAUCUGAAAGAUGCAUUGAAUUGUGUGUACAAUAUAUAGACUGUGUAAAUAUACUUGCCUAAGUACCCUACUUGUAAUGUAUUAUAUAUAUGGUGUAAUCUCAGUAUAAUAAGAUCAUUCAAUCAUUAACCUCUAUUGAGUACAUUCAACAAUCCUGAGACAAGAGAUCCAAGUUUGUGAUGUCAAGACUCAGGAUGAUCCAGAUAAGAGCAGAGGAGAUGUAUUUGUUUCUGAGCGUUUUCUGCAG